This is a long non-coding RNA of Phlebotomus argentipes, 290 nucleotides long. RefSeq lists it as uncharacterized. The record is from RefSeq and is a predicted model, not a curated record. The transcript is spliced from 3 exons. Lineage: Eukaryota; Metazoa; Arthropoda; Insecta; Diptera; Psychodidae.
AAUCCUCCAUGUCCAGAGCCAGUCGGAGCUUUCCAUUCUUCAGCUUUGACUUAGCUCCGAGGCUCGGGACGAUUUUCACUCUUUACACUUUCAAUUCUGCAAGGAGAACAAACAGAUAACAACCCAUAAAUCAAUACAAAAACAGGGAAGCCAUUACACACAACUCCAUGUAACCGGUGGCAAAUAACUACGAAAUCCCGGUAAAUUGGUAAACUAUUCCACUUUUCCAGUUGUGGAAAGCAAAACUUCAGCCAGAAUUGGCGUUUUUAUAUGGGUCACUGAGAUAGAAA